This 688-nucleotide long non-coding RNA is filed under the name Homo sapiens (human). RNAcentral's name for it is "HSALNT0358183". Lineage: Eukaryota; Metazoa; Chordata; Mammalia; Primates; Hominidae. The record is from RNAcentral.
UCCCUAGGUUGUUCCCAUGGCUACAACUCCCACUGCGCAGCCGCACUGCUGCGGCUGGGGGCCCUCGCUGGGCUCCCGUGGCGCUAUUGCCUCCCUUUGCACCUUCCGGUCUGCGUGUUGUGAUGGCUCCCUCUGAUGGCAGUCGCUGGAUGCUUCAUCCACGUGUAGUGGUUUUCUUUCCUCUGCACACCUCUCAGUACAUACUCCAGCUGGGACAAUCUUUUCAGAUGAACACCCUGUUUUUAUCCCAGUCUGAUAAAUUUUUCUUGAAAAGAGGUCAAACAGGAAAGCAAACCUUCCUCUGCCUGUCUCAGUGCAAUCAUGAAGAUCACGCAAGAUAGUCCCUGUUGGAGUGUGUGUGCUUCAGCAGUGCAGAGCAUUCAAAGGUUUGAGGUGAAGGCCAAAAUAGAAAUUGCCAUCAAGCUCCAGAUGAUCCUCAGUGAGGGAUACCGCUCUCUCAGUAUUCAAGAGUCACCCUUCCACAGAGAAGCCCUAGACUGCCCAUCAGUGGAAUAUGAGAGAGCCUGCACCAGAUGCAACUCCUAUAGAAGAGGGAAAUCCUGAACUGACUGAGCGAACUCUCAGAAUUGACCAUGAUUCACAUUUUUACCCUUGACGGAAAAAGGAUUCAAGGAACACAUUACAUUUCUGUUUUAGAAAAAUAAAGUUGUAUUUUUGCAUACCUGAA